CUGCAGCCCGAGUGGUGACCGAUAUUAUUGAGCCUAAAGCGUCCGUAGCCGGUCUGGUAAAUUCUUGGGUAAAUCGGGCAGCUUAACUGUCCGACUUCCGAGGAGACUGCCAGACUUGGGACCGGGAGAGGUCAGAGGUACUCCAGGGGUAGGGGCUAAAUCCUGUAAUCCUUGGGGGACCACCAGUGGCGAAGGCGUCUGACUAGAACGGAUCCGACGGUAAGGGACGAAACCCUGGGGCGCAAAACGGAUUAGAUACCCGAGUAGUCC
This 270-nucleotide ribosomal RNA is filed under the name uncultured archaeon. RNAcentral's name for it is "partial 16S ribosomal RNA". It matches the Rfam family "Archaeal small subunit ribosomal RNA", at positions 477 to 747 of the family's 1478-position model. The record is from RNAcentral.